GGACGCCAGCGCCCGCGGCUCCAGGUCGCUGGCCACGAUGGAGUAGGAGACGUGGCCGUUGGGUCCCAGGUCGGGGUCGGAGGCGCUGACUUGGGCGAUAGAGGCUCCAGGAGGAUUGUUCUCAACCACGUGGACCACCUCUCCAGACUGAGGAGCAUGUCUGCAUAGUUGGGCUGGGGGAAGAUCAAGUGACUCUCCCUGGAGUCCGCGGUGAGGGAGACCUCGUGGGAAUACGUCUUCAGGAAAGCCCGCACGCCAUCCACGCCCACAAAGCGCGAGGCUGGCACGCCAGCCAAUCCAACCCCCGCAGCCUGGAGCAGACGGGACGAAUGCCAGCGCCUCAGCCUGAGUCCCAGCAGCACGAUCACAAAGGCAAGGAAGACGCAGGAGACUGCGGCCACCGCCACCACCAGGUACAGCGUGAGACCUGAGGCAUCAGGGUCAGCUGGGGGCUCGAGACUGCCCAGAUCGGCCAGGACGUCUGGAAUGCUGUCGGCCACCGCCACGGUGAGCGUGACGGUGGCCGAGAGAGGGGGUUGGCCGUGGUCUUGCACUGCCACCACUAGGCUCUGCUUGAGCGCAUCUCUGUCCUGCAGGGCCCGCGCUGUGCGCACCUCGCCCGUGUGCAGCCCCACCGCGAAAAGCCCUGGCUCGCUGGCCUUGAGCAGACGGUAGGACAACCAGGCGUUCUGGCCAGAGUCUCUAUCCACCGCCACCACCUUGGUUACCAGGGUAAAGACUCAUUUUAUCCAUCAGGAUGUUAAAGUUCACCAGGCACCGUGCACUCUGAGCGCAGAGCUCCUCCCGGUCUAUUCUGCCUGCAGUGACCAAGCUGCCGCUUCGCGGAUUCAGAGCGAAAAGCUGUGUCCUACCUCUGGAGACGAUGCGGAUUCCGUGCUCUGCCAGUUCCCGGGGCUCCAGGCCCAGAUCCUUAGCGAUAUUACCCACAAAAGACCCUGUGUCUGUUUCCUCCGGCAAAGAGUAGAAAAUAUGUCCUGCCCAAGCUUCUCUCCGGGUCCCCAGGAGGAUGGAGAGCAGGAUGAAUCCUCUGUAGUCUCGACCCCUCUUCAGAGUCGCCAUUGUUGUCCUGCUGAUCUUGUUAGACACUGGACUAUCUCCUUUUGCGCUUAUGGAUGCCAGUGUGUCAGCGUGGAAUCCUUUGUAUUCAUAAGAGAAGCCCGGAAUUUAGUAUAAUAGAGACCGGAGUUUGAUGCAGCUUGGAAGAGAA
This is a long non-coding RNA of Felis catus (domestic cat), 1228 nucleotides long. RefSeq lists it as uncharacterized. The transcript is spliced from 3 exons. NCBI's taxonomy places the organism in Eukaryota, Metazoa, Chordata, Mammalia, Carnivora, Felidae. The record is from RefSeq and is a predicted model, not a curated record.